AAAAAAACAAACUCUGAAUUUCCGUGCCAACUAUUGACUGUCCAUCUUAUAUGAAAUUUUUUUAUAAUUAGUAUUUUCAUUGUUAUUAGAUGAUAAAACAUGAUUAAUACUUUAUGCGUGACUUAUCUUUUUUUUAUAUAAUUUUUUCAAAUAAGACAAACGGUCAAACGUUGGACACGGAAAUCAGGGUUUGUCUUUUU
Non-coding RNA from Oryza nivara, 200 nucleotides. The record is from Rfam. Lineage: Eukaryota; Viridiplantae; Streptophyta; Magnoliopsida; Poales; Poaceae.